Hucho hucho (huchen) is the source of this 130-nucleotide small nucleolar RNA. Its record names the gene SNORA71. It matches the Rfam family "Small nucleolar RNA SNORA71". From Rfam's summary of the family: The members of this family belong to the H/ACA class of snoRNAs which bind a number of proteins (including dyskerin, Gar1p and Nop10p) to form snoRNP complexes. This class of snoRNAs are thought to guide the sites of modification of uridines to pseudouridines by forming direct base pairing interactions with substrate RNAs. The record is from Ensembl. Lineage: Eukaryota; Metazoa; Chordata; Actinopteri; Salmoniformes; Salmonidae.
CCCUGUAUCGAAAGUGACUAUGGCAUGACUGUUGUCAUAGUCAUUGAUAGUACAGGAACAGUGAUUUUUGAAAGCUUUUCCCGUGUUUGUUGGCAUACCUGUUCCUGUCAAACCCUGUAUCUUUCAAACA